AUUGAACGCUGGCGGCAGGCUUAACACAUGCAAGUCGAACGAGUGGCGGACGGGUGAGUAAUGCGUGGGAAUCUAGCUUAUGGAGGGGGAUAACUACGGGAAACUGUAGCUAAUACCGCGUACCAUAGGAUGAGGCCAAGUGGGAUUAGGUAGUUGGUGAUGGAAAGGCUAACCAAGCCGACGAUCUCUAGCUGGUCUGAGAGGAUGACCAGCCACACUGGGACUGAGCCCCGGCCCAGACUCCUACGGGAGGCAGCAGGGGGAAAUAGGUCGCAAUGGGGGCAACCUGACGCAGCCAGCCCGCGGGAAGGAAGCGGGCCUUCGGGUUUUAAAGUUCUUUCGGUAGCGAGGCGUUAACUGCAGAAUAAGCACCGGCUAACUCCCUGCCAGCAGCCGCGGUAAUUC
This 405-nucleotide ribosomal RNA is filed under the name uncultured bacterium. Its description in RNAcentral is "partial 16S ribosomal RNA". It matches the Rfam family "Bacterial small subunit ribosomal RNA", at positions 30 to 526 of the family's 1533-position model. The record is from RNAcentral.